This is a non-coding RNA of Biomphalaria pfeifferi, 260 nucleotides long. The record is from the annotation of a GenBank genome assembly. NCBI's taxonomy places the organism in Eukaryota, Metazoa, Mollusca, Gastropoda, Planorbidae.
UUUUUGUGUUUUUUUUAAAUAUUGUAAAUUCAAUAAUAAAAUGCAUUCAACAUUUAUGGCUCUUCCUAACUUUGAAGAUUUGAAGCUGUUGCAUUUUGGGUUUGUUUAAAAAUCGUUUUCAGACUUGACUUUGUAGAGUAGACAAGAAGUGAACAUUCUAGUAAACUUGCACAUUAAAGACAAGUAGAUGUCAGGAUAUGUCUUAUAAACAUGUAGUAUGAAGAUAAGAUUUGAAAAUAUCAUCAUGGAUAAUAUAGAGU